UGGGGAAUAUUGGACAAUGGGGGCAACCCUGAUCCAGCCAUGCCGCGUGUGUGAAGAAGGUCUUAGGAUUGUAAAGCACUUUAAGUUGGGAGGAAGGGCAGUUAACUAAUACUUGACUGUUUUGACGUUACCGACAGAAUAAGCACCGGCUAACUUCGUGCCAGCAGCCGCGGUAAUACGAAGGGUGCAAGCGUUAAUCGGAAUUACUGGGCGUAAAGCGCGCGUAGGUGGUUCGUUAAGUUAGGAGUGAAAGCCCCGGGCUCAACCUGGGAAUUGCUUCUAAAACUGGCGAGCUAGAGUAUGGUAGAGGGUGGUGGAAUUUCCUGUGUAGCGGUGAAAUGCGUAGAUAUAGGAAGGAACAUCAGUGGCGAAGGCGACCACCUGGACUGAUACUGACACUGAGGUGCGAAAGCGUGGGGAGCAAACAGG
RNAcentral lists this ribosomal RNA (429 nucleotides) under uncultured bacterium. Its description in RNAcentral is "bacterial SSU rRNA". It matches the Rfam family "Bacterial small subunit ribosomal RNA", at positions 355 to 776 of the family's 1533-position model. The record is from RNAcentral.